RNAcentral lists this ribosomal RNA (653 nucleotides) under uncultured marine bacterium. Its description in RNAcentral is "bacterial SSU rRNA". It matches the Rfam family "Bacterial small subunit ribosomal RNA", at positions 818 to 1482 of the family's 1533-position model. The record is from RNAcentral.
AGACGUUGGAAAUUUAUUUUCAGUGUCGCAGGGAAACCGAUAAACACACCGCCUGGGGAGUACGACCGCAAGGUUAAAACUCAAAUGAAUUGACGGGGACCCGCACAAGUAGUGGAGCAUGUGGUUUAAUUCGAAGAUACGCGCAGAACCUUACCAACACUUGACAUGUUCGUCGCGACUCUAAGAGAUUAGAGUUUUCGGUUCGGCCGGACGAAACACAGGUGCUGCAUGGCUGUCGUCAGCUCGUGUCGUGAGAUGUUGGGUUAAGUCCCGCAACGAGCGCAACCCUCACUUUUAGUUGCCAUCAUUAAGUUGGGCACUCUGAAAGAACUGCCAGUGAUAAGCUGGAGGAAGGUGGGGAUGACGUCAAGUCCUCAUGGCCCUUACGUGUUGGGCUACACACGUGCUACAAUGGCAUCUACAACAGGAAGCGAAACGGCAACGUUUAGCAAAUCCCGAAAAGAUGCCUCAGUUCGGAUUGCACUCUGCAACUCGAGUGCAUGAAGCUGGAAUUACUAGUAAUCGUGGAUCAGCGUGCCACGGUGAAUGCGUUCCCGGGUCUUGUACACACCGCCCGUCACACCAUGGGAGUUGGUUCUACCUUAAGGCAAGGUUUCAAACCCUUGACCACGGUAUAGUCAGCGACUGGGGUG